CACGUAGGCGGGUUCUUAAGUCAGGUGUGAAAUCCCGGGGCUCAACCUCGGAACUGCAUUUGAAACUGGGGACCUAGAGGUCAGGAGAGGUUAGCGGAAUACCGAGUGUAGAGGUGAAAUUCGUAGAUAUUCGGUGGAACACCAGUGGCGAAGGCGGCUAACUGGACUGAUACUGACGCUGAGGUGCGAAAGUGUGGGGAGCAAACA
Molecule: ribosomal RNA, 207 nt
Filed under: uncultured bacterium
Lineage: Bacteria
Description: partial 16S ribosomal RNA
Rfam family: Bacterial small subunit ribosomal RNA
Source: RNAcentral